CCUACGGGGGGCAGCAGUGGGGAAUAUUGGACAAUGGGGGCAACCCUGAUCCAGCCAUGCCGCGUGUGUGAAGAAGGCCCUCGGGUUGUAAAGCACUUUCAGUGAGGAAGAACGCCUGGUGGUUAAUACCCAUCAGGAAAGACAUCACUCACAGAAGAAGCACCGGCUAACUCCGUGCCAGCAGCCGCGGUAAUACGGAGGGUGCGAGCGUUAAUCGGAAUUACUGGGCGUAAAGCGCGCGUAGGUGGCUUGAUAAGCCGGUUGUGAAAGCCCCGGGCUCAACCUGGGAACGGCAUCCGGAACUGUCAAGCUAGAGUGCAGGAGAGGAAGGUAGAAUUCCCGGUGUAGCGGCGAAAUGCGUAGAGAUCGGGAGGAAUACCAGUGGCGAAGGCGGCCUUCUGGACUGACACUGACACUGAGGUGCGAAAGCGUGGGUAGCAAACAGGAUUAGAUACCCUUGUAGUC
Molecule: ribosomal RNA, 465 nt
Filed under: Vreelandella stevensii
Lineage: Bacteria; Pseudomonadati; Pseudomonadota; Gammaproteobacteria; Oceanospirillales; Halomonadaceae
Description: partial 16S ribosomal RNA
Rfam family: Bacterial small subunit ribosomal RNA
Source: RNAcentral